AUCAACUUUCGAUGGUAGGAUAGAGGCCUACCAUGGUGGUAACGGGUAACGGGGUGUUAGGGCACGACACCGGAGAGGGAGCCUGAGAAACGGCUACCACAUCCAAGGAUGGCAGCAGGCGCGCAAAUUACCCAAUCCCGACACGGGGAGGUAGUGACAAUAAAUAACAAUACGGGGUUCUUUCGGAUUUCGUAAUUGGAAUGAGUACAAUUUAAAUCUCUUAACGAGGAACAAUUGGAGGGCAAGUCUGGUGCCAGCAGCCGCGGUAAUUCCAGCUCCAAUAGCGUAUAUUAAAGUUGUUGCAGUUAAAAAGCUCGUAGUUGAAUUUCGGGAUCAGUUCGUCGGUCGUGCCUCUGGUAUGUACUGGUGUUACUGGUUCCUCCCUUCUGAAGAACUGUCAUGUCAUUAAUUUGGUGUGGCGGGGAAUCAGGACUGUUACUUUGAAAAAAUUAGAGUGUUUAAAGCAGGCUCGCGCUUGAAUACAUUAGCAUGGAAUAAUGAAAUAGGACGUUCGAUCCUAUUUUGUUGGUUUCUAGGAUUGACGUAAUGAUUAAUAGGGAUAGUUGGGGGCAUUAGUAUUCAAUUGUCAGAGGUGAAAUUCUUGGAUUUAUUGAAGACUAACUACUGCGAAAGCAUUUGCCAAGGAUGUUUUCAUUAAUCAAGAACGAAAGUUAGGGGAUCGAAGACGAUCAGAUACCGUCGUAGUCUUAACCAUAAACUAUGCCGACUAGGGAUCGGAUGAUGUUAAUUUUUUAAUGACUCAUUCGGCGCCUUACGGGAAACCAAAGUGUUUGGGUUC
Molecule: ribosomal RNA, 799 nt
Filed under: uncultured Glomeromycotina
Lineage: Eukaryota; Fungi; Glomeromycota
Description: SSU rRNA
Rfam family: Eukaryotic small subunit ribosomal RNA
Source: RNAcentral